UAAUACAGGGGGUGCAAACGUUGCUCGGAAUUAUUGGGCGUAAAGCGCGCGUAGGCGGCUACUUAAGUCGGAUGUGAAAGCCCCUGGCUCAACUGGGGAAGUGCACCCGAAACUGAGUAGCUUGAGUGCAAAAGAGGGCCGCGGAAUUCCCGGUGUAGAGGUGAAAUUCGUAGAUAUCGGGAGGAACACCGGUGGCGAAGGCGGCGGCCUGGGUUGACACUGACGCUGAGGCGCGAAAGCGUGGGGAGCAAACAGGAUUAGAUACCCUGGUAGUCCACGCCGUAAACGAUGGGUGCUAGAUGUUUCUGGUAUUGACCCCGGAGGCGUCGUAGCUAACGCGUUAAGCACCCCGCCUGGGAAGUACGGCCGCAAGGCUA
This 377-nucleotide ribosomal RNA is filed under the name uncultured bacterium. Its description in RNAcentral is "bacterial SSU rRNA". It matches the Rfam family "Bacterial small subunit ribosomal RNA", at positions 521 to 896 of the family's 1533-position model. The record is from RNAcentral.